UGGGGGAGUCUACCCCCUCAGUGCCGCAGCUAACGCAUUAAGUAUCCCACCUGGGGAGUACGAUCGCAAGGUUGAAACUCAAAGGAAUUGACGGGGGCCCGCACAAGCGGUGGAGCAUGUGGUUUAAUUCGAUGCAACGCGAGGAACCUUACCUGGGCUUGACAUGCAGGGGACAGGCGUAGAAAUACGUCCUUCUUCGGACUCCUGCACAGGUGCUGCAUGGCUGUCGUCAGCUCGUGUCGUGAAAUGUUAGGUUAAGUCCUGCAACGAGCGCAACCCCUAUCUUUAGUUGCCAACAGGUUAUGCUGGGGACUCUAGAGAGACUGCCGGUGACAAACCGGAGGAAGGUGGGGACGACGUCAAGUCAUCAUGGCCCUUACGCCCAGGGCUACACACGUGCUACAAUGGUCGGUACAGAGGGCUGCGAAACAGUGAUGUGGAGCGAAUCCCAGAAAGCCGGCCUCAGUUCGGAUUGCAGUCUGAAACUCGACUGCAUGAAGUUGGAAUCGCUAGUAAUCGCGUAUCAGAACGACGCGGUGAAUACGUUCCCGGGCCUUGUACACACCGCCCGUCAAGUCAACCGAGUUGGUUGCACCCCAAGUCGCUGAGCUAACCCUUUCGGGGGAGGCAAGUGCCCAAGGUGUGAUUGGCGAGGGAGACUAAGUCGUAACAAGGUAGCCG
This 681-nucleotide ribosomal RNA is filed under the name uncultured bacterium. Its description in RNAcentral is "bacterial SSU rRNA". It matches the Rfam family "Bacterial small subunit ribosomal RNA", at positions 824 to 1502 of the family's 1533-position model. The record is from RNAcentral.